Molecule: ribosomal RNA, 383 nt
Filed under: uncultured bacterium
Lineage: Bacteria
Description: bacterial SSU rRNA
Rfam family: Bacterial small subunit ribosomal RNA
Source: RNAcentral
AACGAACGCUAGCGGGAUGCCUCAAACAUGCAAGUCGCACGCGAAAGCCCGCAAGGGUAAGUAGAGUGGCGCACGGGUGAGUAACACGUAGCUAACGUACCCUCUCACUGGGGAUAACUCCGGGGAAACCGGAGCUAAUACCGAAUAAUCUGUCAGGGUCUGCGGACCUUGCCGGUAAAGCCGUAAGGCGUGAGAGGAUCGGGCUGCGUCCCAUUAGCUUGUUGGUAGGGUAACGGCCUACCAAGGCACGAUGGGUAGCUGGUCUGAGAGGACGACCAGCCACACUGGAACUGAAACACGGUCCAGACUCCCACGGGAGGCAGCAGUUGGGAAUUUUGCACAAUGGAGGAAACUCUGAUGCAGCAAUCCCGCGUUGAGUGAUG